Molecule: long non-coding RNA, 106 nt
Organism: Sinocyclocheilus anshuiensis
Lineage: Eukaryota; Metazoa; Chordata; Actinopteri; Cypriniformes; Cyprinidae
Exons: 3
Source: RefSeq, a predicted model, not a curated record
CUCUCUGGGGUCUGAGGUGAUUUUGGGGCCCUUGAGAUGUUUUGACAUGUCCUGGCAUUUGUGCUUAUUUCAGCUACUUAUAACAUACUAUUGACUAAGUUUAGUA